GUAACCAUUGACCUCCAUAGUAUUUGUUAUUCCUACUAUGGAAGUAAAUGGUUACAGGUUUCCAACAUUCUUC
Molecule: microRNA precursor, 73 nt
Filed under: Danio rerio (zebrafish)
Lineage: Eukaryota; Metazoa; Chordata; Actinopteri; Cypriniformes; Danionidae
Description: miRNA (ENSDARG00000108644.2)
Source: RNAcentral